AGCACAGGACCCUGUCCCUGAGCAGGGGAUCUACACCUCAGAGAGGAAGGCAGGCUCACAGGUACACGGGACAGCAGACUGUGCCCUUCCAGGUGACUUGAGCACAGCUUGUGAGUCUUACAGGAGUGGGAACAGCCAGGGCUUGCCUGACCUGAUGCACCCUUCUAAACAAAGCUGGACUCUGCUCUCAGCCAGAGGUGGACCAGGUGACCCAGCAGCUCCUGGCCCUCUUAGGUGUGGAGACCAGACGACCCAGCAGCUCCUGCCCCUCUUAGGUGUGAAGACCAGGUGACCCAGCAGCUCCUGACCCUUCAGGUGUGGAGACCAUGUGACCCAUCAGCUACUGACCCUCCAGGUGUGGAGACCAUGUGACCCAGCAGCUCCUGACCCUCCAGGUGUGGAGACCAGGUGACCCAGCAGCUCCUGGACCUCCCAGGUGUGAAGACCAGGUGACCCAGCAGCUCCUGGACCUCCCAGGUGUGGAGACCAGGUGACCCAGCAGCUCCUGACCCUCCAGGUGUGGAGACCAGGUGACCCAGCAGCUCCGACCCUCCAGGUGUGGAGACCAGGUGACCCAGCAGCUCCUGGACCUCCAGGUGUGGAGACCAGGUGACCUAGCAGCUCCUGACCCUCCAGGUGUGGAGACCAUGUGACCCAGCAGCUCCUGACCCUCCAGGUGUGGAGACCAUGUGACCCAGCAGCUCCUGGACCUCCAGGUGUGGAGACCAUGUGACCCAGCAGCUCCUGACCCUCCAGGUGUGGAGACCAUGUGACCCAGCAGUUACUGGCCCUCCCAGGUGUGGAGACCAUGUGACCCAGCAGUUCCUGGCCCUCCCAGGUGUGGAGACCAGGUGACCCAGCAGUUCCUGACCCUCCCAGGUGUGGAGACCAGGUGACCCAGCAGCUCCUGACCCUCCAGGUGUGGAGACCAGGUGACCCAGCAGCUCCUGACCCUCCAGGUGUGAAGACCAGGUGACCUAGCAGCUCCUGACCCUCCAGGUGUGGAGACCAGGUGACCCAGCAGUUACUGGCCCUCCCCAGUGUGGAGACCAGGGUGACAAAGUGACUUGUAACCCUGCCAGCUGUGGAGAUGGUGGUGACCCUACAGCUCCUAGUUUUUCCAGGAGCCAAGGAGCAGAAACCCACGGUGAACUCCUACCAGACUGAGAAUGAGACAAGGAUUUCUACAUAAAAAGACAAAGGCACUGUACCCACGGCUGCCCAUUCUUCAUGGAAAGGGACGACUCCUCAGUCUUGGGGCAUGGUUCUGGAAGGCUCUGUGCCAUGGGUCACUCUGCUAUGCUUUUCUGCUGUCCACUCGGGAGUGCUAGCUGCGACCCUCAGAGGGCUGAGCUGAGUGGCCUGUAGCUCAGCAGGAAGGACAGCAAGCCCAGCUCCUGAGCCAGGCUAGUGCUGAAGGCCAGGAGGCAGCUGUGAAGCUCCUGCAGACUCCUGCGUCCAGGUGGGGGUAGGGGCAGUGUGAGCAUGGCUGUGUGUCCGGUCCUGCCUGGAUGGGGGUCCUGAGUCGGGGAAGGCCCCAGGAGUGCACUCCCACCUAAGUGGCCCCACGGAGUUUUCCCAGGAGGGACACUGGGCUGCAGCAGGAAAUGCCCCCUGCCUCUGCCGCGCAAGCCUUGCCUUAGGACAGACCUCCACUGCUCAGGUCCUCCUGGAGGCCGUUCAGACCUCCCGUGAGCAGUAGAACCCCCAAGGCUGAUGCUUGGAGGAGAGGGAGGCGCUUCCCCUAGGGGCAGAGCUUGCUGGAGGCUGAUAAGGUGGCAGCAGUGUCCAGGAGGAAGAAGGCACUGCGGGGCCCAUCCCUGUAGUCAGGCCCCCAGAGAAGACGGCUGGGCAUCCCUCCCCAGGGCCUGCGUGGAUGACCCAGCCUCUAGAAGGGACUGGAGACACCCAGUGGUGAGUUACAUGCUGCAAACCACGAGCUGCCUGCGGGAGGACACCCAGACCCAGGGCUUCCCGGGGGCCACGUGGAGAGCUGCUCCUGUUAGUGAGGGCAGCUGGCUGGCCUCAUGGCCAUCUCCUGGGGAGCUUGGCCAGGGACCCCAGCCUCCUUGCCUCCUAGCUGAGCUCCAUCAGGAGCUGAUGCUGCCCACCUCUCACCAUAUUGGGAAGUUCACGGUCCACUCGGCGCUGAGGGUCUCCCAGAGAGGCAUGAGCAUCCUGAAGUGGUCCAUCUCUGCUGCGCUCCGCCCCUCUGUCUACAGUGCUGGGGUGGGAACAGCCUCAUGCACCUGGGCAAGCUCCGACCGAGAAGGCACCCAGCCCUGCUAGGAUCGCUUAAGCCAUUUAAAUCUUUAUAACUUCUUGAAGUUUCUUGAAGUUUGUUUUCAAAUGCUGGCCCUUUAAAAAUAUUUUUUUAUCAGAAUGCUGAAAAUAGCCAUUUUACUUAAAUUUACCAAAAAAAUAAAUUAAAUUAAAAGGUCUUAAAAUCUUGCAGCAGGUCAGGGACUGACCAGGGAGCCCACAUUCCAGCAGAUGGUUUUCAUGUCGUGUAGAAAGAGCCAAAGUUUAAAGAGUUCACUUGAAACAGGGCUUCAGUUUGACUGAGGUCAGCUGAGCCAGCCCAGCGGGCAAACGCCAAAAGGACCUGGGGGCUAGUUUGGCUAUGGGUGCCCAGCAGUCAGGGCUCUGCAGGGGCCAGGUCCAGAACUGCUGCAGGAUGCUGGUCAGCAAGGACUCAGUCAAGAGUAGCAUCCAAGUGUGUGGGGACCAGCCUCCCCAUCUGGCACACGGCACUGAGGACCUUUGCAGGUGAGUUUGUAAAGGAGCUUUCAGUGUGACAGUGACGAGGACUCUGUGCUCCGUCCAGCUGCAGGGGGCUCCUGCACCUCCCCACCUGAAUGUCCAGCCAGAUCUCUCAUUAGCCUCCACCCCCAAAGCAGUCCACCACUCUGGCUGUCUGCAGCCUGAGCCUGCUGGGCUGCUCAGCGGGACCCACCUCCCCCAGGCUGCCUCUGGUGACCCCCACUGGCCCCAUGCCGCCUGCCUGGAAAGGCUCCUGUCUCCCCUGCAGGACGCUGCAGUGUCCUUGCCUGUGGCCCUGUCUGCAUAAAGGCUCCUCACCCUGCAGGGUGCAGCACUCCUCAGCUGCCCAGUCCAGAGGUGGGUGUGCAGCAGGAGCCUCAGAAAUGCGCCACAGCUGGGCGUAAACGCUGGAGUAAACAGUGACCCAAGUGGUUCUGUGAGGAAAGAGGAGACCCUUUGUCUUCAUUUUCAAGUUGUGUUUAUUGCUGACUUUGAUUUUCAGUGUGCAUC
This is a long non-coding RNA of Marmota monax (woodchuck), 3273 nucleotides long. RefSeq lists it as uncharacterized. The record is from RefSeq and is a predicted model, not a curated record. Lineage: Eukaryota; Metazoa; Chordata; Mammalia; Rodentia; Sciuridae. The transcript is spliced from 4 exons.